This 477-nucleotide ribosomal RNA is filed under the name uncultured bacterium. RNAcentral's name for it is "partial 16S ribosomal RNA". It matches the Rfam family "Bacterial small subunit ribosomal RNA", at positions 28 to 507 of the family's 1533-position model. The record is from RNAcentral.
GAUGAACGCUGGCGGCGUGCCUAAUACAUGCAAGUCGAGCGAACAGACGAGGAGCUUGCUCCUCUGACGUUAGCGGCGGACGGGUGAGUAACACGUGGAUAACCUACCUAUAAGACUGGGAUAACUUCGGGAAACCGGAGCUAAUACCGGAUAAUAUAUUGAACCGCAUGGUUCAAUAGUGAAAGACGGUUUUGCUGGCGGUUAUAGAUGGAUCCGCGCCGCAUUAGCUAGUUGGUAAGGUAACGGCUUACCAAGGCAAUGAUGCGUAGCCGGCCUGAGAGGGGGACCGGCCACAGGGGGACUGAGAUACGGCCCAGACUCCUACGGGAGGCAGCAGUGGGGAAUAGUGCACAAUGGGCGGAAGCCUGAUGCAGCAACGCAGCGUGCGGGAUGACGGCCUUCGGGUUGUAAACCGAUUUCGCAUGUGACGAAGCGUGAGUGACGGUAAUGGGUAAAGAAGCACCGGCUAACUACGUG